GUAAGGCAAUAAGUGCAAUCGGUGGAUGCCUUGGAGUUAGAUAGGGACGAAGGACGUGGCCAACUGCGAUAUGCCUCGGGGAGCUGUAAGCAAGCUUAGAUCCGGGGAUUUCCGAAUGGGGAAACCCAUCCCGAGUUAUGUCGGGAUAUCAUUCUUCUGAAUAAAAUAGGAAGUCUGAGCCGUACGCAGGGAACUGAAACAUCUUAGUACCUGCAGGAAAAGAAAGCAACCGCGAUUCCCUUAGUAGCGGCGAGCGAAAUGGGAAUAGCCUAAACCCCGAUUUAUCGGGGGGUCGUGGGAUCCAAGCCGCGUUUCGCUGGAGUCAUAGUCAAACUACUCUGGAAAGGUAGGCCAUAGAGGGUGAUAGCCCCGUAGGCGAAAUGAUGAAAGCGCAACAAUUGGACACCCGAGUAGGACGGGACACUAGGAAUCUUGUCUGAAUUUGCGAGGACCAUCUCGUAAGGCUAAAUAUAAUCUAACUACCGAUAGCGAACAAGUACCGUGAGGGAAAGGUGAAAAGUACCCCGUGAGGGGAGUGAAAUAGUACCUGAAACCGAUUGCAUAUGAUCAGUCGAAGUCUUCUUUUUGUGCUUGCACAUUAAGGGGAUGACGGCGUGCCUUUUGUAUAAUGAGCCGGCGAGUUACUUUUGGCAGCAAGGUUAAGGGCUAUAGGUCCGUAGCCAAAGCGAAAGCGAGUCUGAAUAGGGCGUUAAGUUGUCAGGAGUAGACCCGAAACUGAGUGAUCUACCCAUGUCCAGGUUGAAGAUCCGGUAACACGGAUUGGAGGACCGAACCUACUGAAGUUAAAAAUUCAGAGGAUGAGGUGUGGGUAGGGGUGAAAGGCCAAACAAACUCAGAGAUAUCUGGUUCUCUUCGAAAUCUGUUUAGGCAGGGCCUCAUGUUAGAUUAACGGAGGUAAAGCACUGAUUGGGCUAGGGGCCCUAAAAGGCUACCAACCCCACUCAAACUAAGAAUGCCGUUAAUUGAUGCAUGGGAGUCAGUCUGCGGGGGAUAAGCUCCGUAGGCGAAAGGGAAACACCCCAGACCAUCAGCUAAGGUCCCUAAAUAUACACUGAGUGACAAAGGAUGUUAAAUUGCAAAAACAGCCAGGAUGUUGGCUUAGAAGCAGCCAUUCAUUUAAAGAGUGCGUAAUAGCUCACUGGUCGAGUGGUUUUGCACCGAAGAUGAUCGGGACUAAGUGUAUUACCGAAGCUAUGGAUUUUCCGAGUAAUCGGAAAGUGGUAGAAGAGCAUUCUGUAAGGCUGCGAAGGUGUACCGGAAGGUAUGCUGGAGCUAUCAGAAGAGAUUAUGCCGGCAUGAGUAGUGAGAAUCUCGGUGAGAAACCGAGACACCGUAAGUCUAAGGUUUCCUGAGUAAAGUUAAUCUGCUCAGGGUUAGUCGGACCCUAAGGCGAGGCCGAAAGGCGUAGUCGAUGGGAAAGCAGUCAAAAUUCUGCUACCCGAUAUAGACAGUGAUGGGAUGACGCAGUUAUGCGAGGAAGACUGGUGUUGGACGCCCAGUUUUAAGCUGGUAGGUUGGAUGAGCAGGAAAAUCCACUCAUCUAUAACCGAGAAGCGAAUACGAGCCACAUAAGUGGCAGAAGUUCCUCUACAAAGCUGCCAAGAAAUAAUCUCUAAACGUUAACUCUAUAUCGGUCCGUACCGCAAACCGACUCAGGUAGACGAGGAGAGUAUCCUAAGGUGCUCGAGAUAACUCUGGUUAAGGAACUCGGCAAAAUAGCCCCGUAACUUCGGAAGAAGGGGUGCCAUUGAAGGUGAAAGGACUCGCUCUUCGAGCUUUCGAUGGUCGCAGUGAAGAGGCCCAAGCGACUGUUUAUCAAAAACACAGGUCUAUGCAAAGUAGUAAUACCACGUAUAUGGACUGACACCUGCCCGGUGCCGGAAGGUUAAAUGGAUGGCUUAGCUCGUAUCGUUUCGAUAUUGGCGAAGGUCAGAAAUGAAGCCCCGGUAAACGGCGGCAAUAACUAUAAUUGUCCUAAGGUAGCGAAAUUCCUUGUCGGGUAAGUUCCGACCUGCACGAAUGGUGUAACGACUUGGGCGCUGUCUCAACCAGGGACUCGGUGAAAUUGCAGUGGCGGUGAAGAUGCCGCCUACCCGCGAAAGGACGGAAAGACCCCGUGAACCUUUACUGCAUUUUGAUAUUGUAUUUUGGUGUUGUUUGUGUAGGAUAGGUGGGAGGCUUUGAAGCUCCGGCGCUAGCCGGGGUGGAGCCAACGUUGAAAUACCACCCUAAUAAUAUUGGAAUACUAACUCGUGCCUUUAUGAGGUAUGAGGACAGUGUCUGAAGGGCAGUUUGACUGGGGCGGUCGCCUCCUAAAAUGUAACGGAGGCGUACAAAGGUUCCCUCAGCGUGAUUGGUAACCACGCGUAGAGUGUAAAGGCAUAAGGGAGCUUAACUGCAAGACCGACGGGUCAAGCAGAUGCGAAAGCAGGUCUUAGUGAUCCUAUCCCACCGCAUGGAAGGGGGAUAGCUCAACGGAUAAAAGGUACUCCGGGGAUAACAGGCUGAUAGCGCCCGAGCGUCCAUAGCGACGGCGCUGUUUGGCACCUCGAUGUCGGCUCAUCACAUCCUGGGGCUGAAGAAGGUCCCAAGGGUAUGGCUGUUCGCCAUUUAAAGUGGUACGCGAGCUGGGUUCAGAACGUCGUGAGACAGUUCGGUCCCUAUCCUUCGUGGGCGUAAGAUGUUUGAGGAGAUCCGCAUUUAGUACGAGAGGACCAAUGUGGACAGACCUCUGGUGUAACGGUUGUGACGCCAGUUGCAUUGCCGUAUAGCUAUGUCUGGAAUGGAUAACUGCUGAAAGCAUAUAAGCGGGAAGCCAACUCCAAGAUUAGACAUCUUUUAGACUCCUUGUAGACUACAAGGUUGAUAGGUUACAGGUGUAAGUACAGCAAUGUAUUUAGCCGAGUAAUACUAAUUAGUCGAAGCCUUACUUUU
RNAcentral lists this ribosomal RNA (2955 nucleotides) under Cloacimonetes bacterium SCGC AAA252-D03. RNAcentral's name for it is "bacterial LSU rRNA". It matches the Rfam family "Bacterial large subunit ribosomal RNA". RNAcentral also lists the same sequence under 1 other name. Lineage: Bacteria; Pseudomonadati; Candidatus Cloacimonadota. The record is from RNAcentral.